Molecule: ribosomal RNA, 497 nt
Filed under: uncultured bacterium
Lineage: Bacteria
Description: partial 16S ribosomal RNA
Rfam family: Bacterial small subunit ribosomal RNA
Source: RNAcentral
GAUGAACGCUGGCGGCGUGCCUAAUACAUGCAAGUCGAGCGAACGGACGAGAAGCUUGCUUCUCUGAUGUUAGCGGCGGACGGGUGAGUAACACGUGGAUAACCUACCUAUAAGACUGGGAUAACUUCGGGAAACCGGAGCUAAUACCGGAUAAUAUUUUGAACCGCAUGGUUCAAAAGUGAAAGACGGUCUUGCUGUCACUUAUAGAUGGAUCCGCGCUGCAUUAGCUAGUUGGUAAGGUAACGGCUUACCAAGGCAACGAUGCAUAGCCGACCUGAGAGGGUGAUCGGCCACACUGGAACUGAGACACGGUCCAGACUCCUACGGGAGGCACCAGUAGGGAAUCGUCCGCAAUGGGCGGAAGCAUGACGGAGCAACGCCGCGUGAGUGAUGAGGGUCUUCGGGUCGGGAAACUCGGUUAUUAGUGGAGAACAUAUGUGUAAGGAACUGUGCACAGCUUGACGGUACUGAAUAGGAAAGCCAGGGCUAAAUACGUG